CCUACGGGAGGCAGCAGUGAGGAAUAUUGGUCAAUGGCCGGAAGGCUGAACCAGCCAUGCCGCGUGAAGGUCAGUGCCCUAUGGGCGUUAAACUUCUUUUGUGCGGGAGCAAUAAUGGUCACGUGUGGCCAGACGAGAGUACCGUACGCAUAAGCAUCGGCUAACUCCGUGCCAGCAGCCGCGGUAAUACGGGGGAUGCAAGCGUUAGCCGGAUUUUUUGGGGUUAAAGGGUGAGUAGGCGGUGAGGUAAGUCAGCGGGGCAAGGCCCCCGCUCAACGGGGUGAAGUGCCAUUGAUACUGGCUUGCUGGAGUGCGGAUGCCGUGGGAGGAAUGUGUGGUGUAGCGGUGAAAUGCAUAGAUAUCACACAGAACACCGAUUGCGAAGGCAGCUCACGAAUCCGCGAUUGACGCUGAGGCACGAAAGCGUGGGUAUCAAACAGGAUUAGAUACCCGUGUAGUC
Molecule: ribosomal RNA, 460 nt
Filed under: uncultured bacterium
Lineage: Bacteria
Description: partial 16S ribosomal RNA
Rfam family: Bacterial small subunit ribosomal RNA
Source: RNAcentral